AGAUGCUUGGCUGACGCCUGAUUUGUUUUUAAGAAUUAAAAUUUAACAAUAUAACCUCAAAAUUAUAAACUACUAGGUUGUAUCCAACAUUGCCUAUAGCCCCCACCCUCCACACACCCUCAAACUGCUCUGGAGAAUUACAGGAUUGUCCAGAGAUGAUGGAGGGGUUUUGGAGGGAAAGGUAAGUCCACUCACGCAACAUGGGAUGCUGCCCACUUUGAAACAUGCUCCUCAGAAUGCAAUCCCCUUUGUUUCUUAGAAGUUAUUUCAUAUUCAUGUUUUCCAUACAAUAUUUUUAAAGCAGUGAUAUAAUAUGAAAUAUAGAACACUCAUCUAUUCAUGUGCAUGUGAAGAUCUAUUGCCCCAUGUAUAAUUUACUAGUUUAAAAUAUGUGAAAAACCUCCUGCAUCUAAGAAAGCUUGAUCAUGCUUUAAAGAAAUAAAACCAUUAUUUUGA
Podarcis raffonei (Aeolian wall lizard) is the source of this 456-nucleotide long non-coding RNA. RefSeq lists it as uncharacterized. NCBI's taxonomy places the organism in Eukaryota, Metazoa, Chordata, Lepidosauria, Squamata, Lacertidae. The record is from RefSeq and is a predicted model, not a curated record. The transcript is spliced from 2 exons.